AUUGAACGCUGGCGGCAUGCCUUACACAUGCAAGUCGAACGGCAGCACGGGAGCAAUCCUGGUGGCGAGUGGCGAACGGGUGAGUAAUAUAUCGGAACGUGCCCAGUCGUGGGGGAUAACGUAGCGAAAGCUACGCUAAUACCGCAUACGAUCUAUGGAUGAAAGCGGGGGAUCGCAAGACCUCGCGCGAUUGGAGCGGCCGAUAUCAGAUUAGGUAGUUGGUGAGGUAAAGGCUCGCCAAGCCGACGAUCUGUAGCUGGUCUGAGAGGACGACCAGCCACACUGGGACUGAGACACGGCCCAGACUCCUACGGGAGGCAGCAGUGGGGGAAUUUUUGGACAAUGGGCGCAAGCCUGAUCCAGCAAUGCCGCGUGCAGGAUGAAGGCC
This 388-nucleotide ribosomal RNA is filed under the name uncultured bacterium. RNAcentral describes it as "bacterial SSU rRNA". It matches the Rfam family "Bacterial small subunit ribosomal RNA", at positions 30 to 416 of the family's 1533-position model. The record is from RNAcentral.